UGGGGAAUUUUGGACAAUGGGCGCAAGCCUGAUCCAGCAAUGCCGCGUGCGGGAAGAAGGCCUUCGGGUUGUAAACCGCUUUUGUCAGGGAAGAAACGGUCUGGGCUAAUACCCCGGACUAAUGACGGUACCUGAAGGAUAAGCACCGGCUAACUACGUGCCAGCAGCCGCGGUAAUACGUAGGGUGCAAGCGUUAAUCGGAAUUACUGGGCGUAAAGCGUGCGCAGGCGGUUAUGCAAGACAGAUGUGAAAUCCCCGGGCUUAACCUGGGAGCUGCAUUUGUGACUGCAUAGCUAGAGUACGGUAGAGGGGGAUGGAAUUCCGCGUGUAGCAGUGAAAUGCGUAGAUAUGCGGAGGAACACCGAUGGCGAAGGCAAUCCCCUGGACCUGUACUGACGCUCAUGCACGAAAGCGUGGGGAGCAAACA
RNAcentral lists this ribosomal RNA (427 nucleotides) under uncultured bacterium. RNAcentral's name for it is "bacterial SSU rRNA". It matches the Rfam family "Bacterial small subunit ribosomal RNA", at positions 355 to 774 of the family's 1533-position model. The record is from RNAcentral.